GACUCGAGUCAAGCAUCUAAAAGGACAUCAGGGUCUCUUCAGGCUCCCAAUUUCAAACACUGCGAAAACCACUCAGCUGCACCAGCCAACGGGGGAGACCAGUAGCCCUUUCCUGCUCGCUUUCUAUGCCAACACCGGACACCUAACUCGGCCCAGGACUGAACACCUUCUAGCCCCUCGUUCACGGCCCCAACCAGGACCGGAAGACCUGCCUCAGCUACCUGCUCUGACUCCAGAGGUCUGGAGGUGCCUCAAUCCGCUGUCCCCCUGCCAAAGGUUUCUCACCAACAGAAUUACAGCCAUCUCUCGGGCGGUCCACAGACCACCUCAGGACAGUCCUUCUCCAGACAAGGCGACUGGCUUCCCAUU
Long non-coding RNA from Fukomys damarensis (Damara mole-rat), 369 nucleotides. RefSeq lists it as uncharacterized. Lineage: Eukaryota; Metazoa; Chordata; Mammalia; Rodentia; Bathyergidae. The record is from RefSeq and is a predicted model, not a curated record. The transcript is spliced from 4 exons.